GACGAACGUUGGCGGCGUGCCUAAUACAUGCAAGUCAACUGAAGCAGUGGUAGCAAUAUCGCUGUGGCGGUGGCGCCCGGGGGAGUAACAAGUAGGUAAUCUGCCUUCAGGUCUGGCAUAACUCCGGGAAACCGGGGCUAAUAGCAGAGGAUGCAGUGUCUCACCAUCGAGACAGUUGUUAAAGCACGGUCGUGUGAAGAUUAGUCUGCGUCUGAUUGGCUAGUUGGCGGGGUAACGGCGCACCAAGUCAACGAUCAGUCGCUGGGCUGAGAGGAUGAUCAGGCACAGUGGAACGGAGACAAGGCCCAGACUAGGACGGGGGGCAGCAGUAAGGAAAAUUGCUCAAUGGGAGAAAUACUGAAGCAGCAACGGCGCGUGAGGGACGAAGGGCUUUUGCUUGUAAACCUCUGUAGUGAGAGAAAAAAAUCCCAAUCUUUGGGACAUGAUGGUAUCUCAAAAGUAAGCCCCGGCUAACUACGUG
This 481-nucleotide ribosomal RNA is filed under the name uncultured bacterium. RNAcentral describes it as "partial 16S ribosomal RNA". It matches the Rfam family "Bacterial small subunit ribosomal RNA", at positions 28 to 507 of the family's 1533-position model. The record is from RNAcentral.